This 80-nucleotide transfer RNA is filed under the name Ignisphaera aggregans DSM 17230. RNAcentral describes it as "tRNA-Arg". The record is from RNAcentral. Lineage: Archaea; Thermoproteati; Thermoproteota; Thermoprotei; Desulfurococcales; Desulfurococcaceae.
GUCUCUGUCGGAAACAUGGUCUAUUUUUUCCUGGCCUUCUAAGCCAAUGGUCUGGGGUUCGAAUCCCCUCGGGUCCACCA